ACGCACCGACAACGACGUGCACUGAAGAGAAUGCGAGCGGAACGCAAGGGUCUCACCCUGUGAGAGAGGUAGGAAGAAAAGGAAGCGCGGGCGGCGAACUACCUCGCGGCGCUAAAUGUAUGUGCGCGCGCGCGUGUGUGUGUGUGUGUGUGUGCCACUAAUACACUCAGAACGCAUUCGAAUGUUGUGGCGCGGCGCGGUGCGGUGCGGUACAGAAAACGCCACGCAGGCGCUUCCAUUCCCUUCACGGCUCCAAUUCCAUAGUACGUGAAACUCUGAAAAACACGUUCCGAUAAAUGCAGAGACAUUUGCUCUAAAAAAAGGAGAAUCCAGAAAGAAUGCAAUCCAAAAUGA
Molecule: small RNA, 354 nt
Filed under: Atta cephalotes
Lineage: Eukaryota; Metazoa; Arthropoda; Insecta; Hymenoptera; Formicidae
Description: sRNA LOC105621381
Source: RNAcentral